UCCAUGCUGCCUACGUCUCCUUUCUUCUCUCAGCAACCUAGUCCCCCUGCCGCUCUCUGGAACUCAGCUCUGUCCAGGCGGCCCCCAGCUAAAGACGCUUCUUAGUGGUUGCCAUGCACAGCCCUGACCUCUGACCUCUGCCCUGCUGGUUAUUUGCAUAUGCUCUUGGUGUUCUUCCCAACCUCCUUCACCUGGCCAUCUCCAUCUUUUCCUCCUGAGGUUUCCCCUGAUUCAUCAGAUGAUUUCCAGAAUGAUGAUGCAAUGACUCUCAGCCCUAAACACGUUGGAAUCUCCUGGGGGGCUUUGGAAAAACCCGUGUCCAACCCCACCCUUCACCUGGUAGAUUCAAAUCAAAUCACUGGGCUGGGUCCCUAUAUCCACGGGGCUUCAAGUUCCUCCAGGUGAUUCAAAUAUGCACCCAGGUUUGAUAACCUCCCUUUCUAGAAGCUGCUCUGCCGUGAGCGUGGGGGACGGAUCUGUCUUCCUUGACCUACCCCCUGUCUGUCAGGUGCUGGUGGCUGAUAAAACACUUGCUUAAUGGAUGAUGAGACCCACCCUUGACCCACCACACUCGGAAUGGCCUCAGCUGUCCCAUUCCCCCAGCCCCACCUCUCUACUCACCGCCCAGCCACAGUGCCCUGAAAGGGCCAAGCUUUCCACAAGCCUCCUCCACGUGUGAUUCCCAGAUCCUACCAUCCUUCAGGGCUCUGCUGAAAUGCCCUGUCCUCGGGGAAAUUGUCCGUGAUACCCACUGGCCUCAAUCCCCCUGCCCCCAGCUCCCAUCCCUGCCUUGACAUUUUCCUUGGUACCUCUCAUCACCCAAGUCACCUAUGUCUCUCCUUCCAAGAGGAAGAGUCUUUGCUUUUUGGUACCAAAUCCCCAGGGCCUGGCACAAAACUUGUCACAGAGCUGGAGCCGGCAGAGUAAGUCUGUUGGUUAAGUGGUUUUGGUAUCCAGGUAUUUUUGACCCUUCAGGAGACUUUAUCCUGGGCCCAGAGGACUCGAUGAGGCCCUAAAUUUGAGGGGAUGGUGAGUUGAUGGGAUUCAAACCUUGAUCAGGGAACAAGAUCCCAUGUGCUGCAACUGAAGAUCCUGCAUGCCACAACUAAGACUCAGUGCAACCAAAAAAAAAAAGCAGCAAAACCUGGAUACAUAGAUGAAGAUGGUCACAUGACAACAAAGGGAGAUUGGAGUGAUGUAGCCACAAGCCAAGGAGCACCAGGGACUGCUGGUAACCAUCAGCCAGGAGAGGCAAGGAGUAGACCCUCAGCUGGAGCCUCCAGGGGUGGCACAUUGGUAAAGAACCCACCUACCAAUGAAGGAGGUGCAAGAGACGUGGGGUCAGUCUCUGGGUCGUGAAGAUCUCCUGGCGAACAUGGCAACUCACUCCAGUAUUCUUGCCUGGGAAAUCCCAUGGACAGAAGAGCCUGGAGGGCUACAGUCCAUAGAGUCACAAAGAGCUGGACAUGACUGAACUGAGUGCACAGUGGAGGCUCUAGAAGGAACUAAUCUUGCUGAUACCUUGACCUCAGACUUCUGGCCUCUGGAACUGUGAGAAAAUUAAUUUCUGUUGUUUUAAACCCCUCCACUGGCUUGUGGUAUAUUUUUACAGCCACGCUGGAAAACUAAUUUUAUAGAGGAGACAUUCUGAUUAGGAGCCUUUGGGGAAAGAGGAGUUUUGCCUCCCAAAUCCGGAUUCUGAUUCUGCAAGCACGUACCAGAUUCCAUCUGGUGACUUGACUCCUGAGGCUCCUGAGAACAGCUGGAUCUACCCAUUCCUGAAGGCAUCUGGCCUCCCCUUGUGGGUGUGAGGGCGUCUGCUAACGUCUCACCAUCUGACAUCAUUAAAGGAAAAGCCACCGUCUCAGCAAGGGAAUUCAAUUUUACCUAGCACCUAGGUUAACAAGC
This is a long non-coding RNA of Bubalus bubalis (water buffalo), 1908 nucleotides long. RefSeq lists it as uncharacterized. The transcript has 2 exons. NCBI's taxonomy places the organism in Eukaryota, Metazoa, Chordata, Mammalia, Artiodactyla, Bovidae. The record is from RefSeq and is a predicted model, not a curated record.